AGAAGUCAAGGUCUCUUUGAUUAGAAUGUUUUUAUGUUUUAAACGUCUACCUAUUAGUUGGGCCGGUAAAAGCCCAAAUAUGUGGCCCAGGAAUACAACAAUGGUGAACUUAGGGUAUUAAAGCCUCCAAAUGUUCCCAAUAUCUUUCUCCACCUUUCGCGGCAGCUGUCUUCGUCUCUGAAAUUAGGGUUUUAAAGCUUCCAUCUUCGUCUCGCGACAGCCAUCAGCGCUGGUCAUGGUCAUAUCGGAAAGCAUCACAAGCAUCCCGAAGGUCGUGGUAACGCCGGAGGAAUGCUCGAGAGCUGCUAGAGGGCGGCAGCGAACGAGAACGGAGAAGAAGAUAUGAUGUCUGGAGUAUAACCUGCGGCGCGGUAGCAGAAAUCAUCGCGGCGGCUAGGUGGGUGGCACUACAUGUUGAGGGAGAUUUCGCAGUGCUCUUCUCUGACCUACGCGGCCAAAGCGGUUCACGAUGACGACAGGUGUGCAAGGUUUCUUCUCUCAUGUUGUUGUCGGUCGAUUUGGUAUUUCUCUUGGCCGGAUCGAGAGUUCAGUUGGUAUGAUCGGAUGUCGGAGGCUUGAUGAGAGUUCUCAGCACUUGGUUACGACGGAUCUAUGCUCAAAUUCAAUUCAGAACUAAAUUCUAAACUCGUACGUCCGCACGGAGUUUAGAUCUUUAUAAACUAAAUUUUGAUUAUCUGAUUUAAUUAAAUGUUUAUGUUGAAUUUAUAAUUUUAAAGUGUGUAUGUGAAAUUUAAUUAUUUUAUUGAUUUAUUUUGUGAAAUUGUCUCUACUGUCCUUAAUGUUGAUGAAGAAGUUGAAGACGAGGCUGUGGAACCUUUGAAAACAGUUUCGCGAGAAGCCAAUACCAGGAGUUGUUAUGCAAUCAGAAAAAUUAGAGAUGAACUCCAAUGAGAUUCCAACUUUCAGUAAAGACAAACAACAAUAAAGUCAUAUUUUAAUAGAUUGCCUUAGAUAUAUUUGCCUUAUUUUUAUGAUUAUUAAUUUAUAUUUUUGUUGGAACCAUAUAUUUAGAUACAGGUUUUUUAAAAAAUUAUUAUCUUAUUAUUUUAUCGAAUUUGAUAUAUUUUUACAUUGACCCGACUUGGGACCAGAUAAAUUUAUAAUUUUAUAGUGAUUAUUAAUUUAUCGAAUGUUAAUUUAUAGAAGUUUUACUGUAUUAUAUUUCCAAACUAAGCUAUACUUUUCGCAAGAUAAAUUUUUGUAGGCAGAGUUUUUUGGUAGAUUAAGUUUUGAAAUAAACAAAAUGAGAAUGAGAAAUAAGAUCUAAUUAAGUGUUAUUGAUUCAAAUAUGUUGCAUUUGUGAUUUUUAGGUUUUUAGAGAGAUUAUUAUACUUUGUUGAUUUGUUAUGUAAUAAUGUGUUUUAAUAUUUAUACCAUAUUUCUAACCGUUAUGUCAAUUAGAUUUUAAUAGACACUGUGUAAAAAGUAACAAAUUUUUAUACAUUGUUUUUGUGAAAUUUUGUUGCAGUAAAAAAUGUUAUAUAAACCAAAUACUGACAAAUCCCGAUAUGCCAG
This 1536-nucleotide long non-coding RNA is filed under the name Eutrema salsugineum. Its description in RNAcentral is "long non-coding RNA (ESAL_LNC001357)". The record is from RNAcentral. Lineage: Eukaryota; Viridiplantae; Streptophyta; Magnoliopsida; Brassicales; Brassicaceae.